CCUACGGGAGGCUGCAGUGAGGAAUAUUGGUCAAUGGGCGUAAGCCUGAACCAGCCAAGUCGCGUGAGGGAUGAAGGUUCUAUGAAUCGUAACCCUCUUUUAUAGGGGAAUAAAGUGCGGGACGUGUCCGGUUUUGUAUGUACCUUAUGAAUAAGGGUCGGCUCACUCCGUGCCAACAGCCGCGGUACUACGGAGGGUCCGAGCGUUAUCCGGAUUUAUUGGGUGUAAAGGGUGCGUAGGCGGCCUGUUAAGUCAGAGGUGAAAGUAUGUGGCUCAACCAGAGAAUUGCCUUUGAUACUGGGAGCUUUGAGUAUGUGUGGGGCAGGCGGAAUGCGUG
This 337-nucleotide ribosomal RNA is filed under the name uncultured bacterium. RNAcentral describes it as "partial 16S ribosomal RNA". It matches the Rfam family "Bacterial small subunit ribosomal RNA", at positions 338 to 672 of the family's 1533-position model. The record is from RNAcentral.